GAUGAACGCUGGCGGCGUGCCUAAUACAUGCAAGUCGAGCGGACGGACGCGAAGCUUGCUUCUCUGAUGUUAGCGGCGGACGGGUGAGUAACACGUGGAUACCCUGCCUAUAAGACUGGGAUAACUUCGGGAAACCGGAGCUAAUACCGGAUGAUAUUUUGAACCGCAUGGUUCAAAAGUGAAAGACGGUCUUGCUGUCACUUAUAGAUGGAUCCGCGCUGCAUUAGCUAGUUGGUAAGGUAACGGCUUACCAAGGCAACGAUGCAUAGCCGACCUGAGAGGGUGAUCGGCCACACUGGAACUGAGACACGGUCCAGACUCCUACGGGAGGCAGCAGUAGGGAAUCUUGCGCAAUGGGCGAAAGCCUGACGGAGCAACGCCGCGUGAGUGAUGAAGGUCUUCGGAUCGUAAAACUCUGUUAUUAGGGAAGAACAUAUUUGUAAGUAACUGUGCACAGCUUGACGGUACCUAAUCAGAAAGCCACGGCUAACUACGUG
Molecule: ribosomal RNA, 497 nt
Filed under: uncultured bacterium
Lineage: Bacteria
Description: partial 16S ribosomal RNA
Rfam family: Bacterial small subunit ribosomal RNA
Source: RNAcentral